UAAUACGUAGGGGGCAAGCGUUGUCCGGAAUCAUUGGGCGUAAAGCGCGUGUAGGCGGCCAGAUAAGUCCGCUGUGAAAUCUCGAGGCUCAACUUCGAGCUGUCGGUGGAAACUGUCUGGCUAGAGUCCGGAAGAGGAGAGUGGAAUUCCUGGUGUAGCGGUGAAAUGCGCAGAUAUCAGGAAGAACACCCGUGGCGAAGGCGGCUCUCUGGGACGGUACUGACGCUGAGACGCGAAAGCGUGGGGAGCGAACAGGAUUAGAUACCCUGGUAGUCCACGCCGUAAACGAUGGGAACUAGGUGUGGGGGGUGUCGACUCCCUCCGUGCCGAAGCUAACGCAUUAAGUUCCCCGCCUGGGGAGUACGGCCGCAAGGCUA
This 377-nucleotide ribosomal RNA is filed under the name uncultured bacterium. RNAcentral describes it as "bacterial SSU rRNA". It matches the Rfam family "Bacterial small subunit ribosomal RNA", at positions 521 to 896 of the family's 1533-position model. The record is from RNAcentral.